This is a long non-coding RNA of Dendrobium catenatum, 7700 nucleotides long. RefSeq lists it as uncharacterized. The transcript is spliced from 2 exons. The record is from RefSeq and is a predicted model, not a curated record. NCBI's taxonomy places the organism in Eukaryota, Viridiplantae, Streptophyta, Magnoliopsida, Asparagales, Orchidaceae.
UAAUGUCAGGGAAAAAUUCUGAAUAUUUGCCGAAAUCUUCUAAUCCGCAACCUUCGAAUGUGUUGCCUAAUAUUCCUAGAAAAACUCCUUUUCCCAAAUCUUUUAAAGAACCUUUAACUGGUUCUGAUAGCAAUGGAAAUCAUGGUAUUAGUAUUUCUUCUUCUUCUUUGAAUGUUAUGCCUGCUUUAAUUGUUUCUGAUGAGGAUAGUAGAAAACUAGCUGAACCAUACAAAUAUGCAUUAGUUAGUAAAUUUUCUUUCAGAAGGCCUUAUAUGGAAGAAAUUAGGAAAUUCUUUCAUAGUUUGAAUCUCACGGGUAUUUUUUUCUAUUUGCUUUUGGGAUGCUAGACAUGUAUUUAUAAAUCUUUCAAAUGACUUGGAUUAUAGCAGGAUUUUCUUGCAAAGGUCAUAUUAUGUGAGAAACUGUUAAAUGAGAGUAUUAAAAUGGUCUCCGAAAUUUCAUAUAAUCACCUCUUUGUCCUGUUUGGAUUUCUUUAUCAUACUUACGUAUGCAUUUUUUCAAUGCUCAAGUGUUAUAAGUGAUCGGUUCCAUUUUUGGGAGACCAUUACAGGUUGAUCAAGCAACAGCCAAAAAAUCGAGGCCUUCUGUGGGAAGAAUUUUAGUGGAAAUUGAUAUCACUAAAGAUUUUCCGAAUGACAUUUGGAUUGGUUCAGAUUCUUCUGGUUAUAUUCAGAAAAUUGAAUUUGAUAAAUUUCCUAUUUUAUGUACAAAUUGCAAAUUACAUAGGCAUGAUUUGAGUAGUUGUUUUAUUUUGAAUCCUUCUUUUAAAGAGAAAAAUCUUAAGCAACAUAUUCCUACUAAAUCUCUUAAUAAAGAAUAGAUUCUUGAUAAUUCUCUAAAUGAUUAUUUAGAGAAUGUGGAGAAAGAUUUAAAAGAACUAAUAGAUAUGAAUGAUGUUAAUGUAGUUAACAAUAAUUCAGAUAUCUUAGAUUCUCUUAAGAAUUGAAAAAAUUUUGGAUAUGGUUGUUUAUGAUAAAUAUCUUGCUUUGAAAAUUUAAGGUUUUUGUGAUGAUUCUUUGCAUUCUAAUGUUCAAGAUGAUUUUAUUUCUAUUACUUCAUCUUCUGUUGUCAAGGCUUUGAAUAAUGUUAGUAAAAUGAUGAAAAAAUAAAACAGUGAGUGUGGUUUCAAUAAAGCAACUAUUUCUAUUACGGAUGGUAAUUCUUGUGAAAAAGCAGGUGAGAAUAAGGAAAUGGAGGAGGUGAAUUUAAUUCUGAUGUGGUAAGUGUUUAUGAUUUUGAGGUGGGUAAGUCAAAAGCGUUUCAUUCUUUUUAUAAUACUAGAUUGAAGAAAAAGAAUUUUACGGUCUUAAUAGGACCUAAAUCUUUUCCUUUACAAAAAUAAAUGAUUAACUUUUUAGUGUGGAAUGUUAGAAGGAUUGGUUCUCUCUAUUAGAAAUAGAGUUAGGAAUUUAUGUCCUAUUCAUUGAAUUGAAUUGCUAGUUAUUAUUUAACCUAUGAUUAAUAUUUGUAAAAUUAUGCAUACUGUUAGAUUAUUAGGUUUCAAGCAUUUUUUUUUUCUAAUUCUUCUAAUAAAAUUUGGUUAUUUUGGCUAAUAAUGUUUCUUUAGAUGCUAUAGAAGAUUUUCAUCAUGUUGUAAAUGUGUCUAUUAUCUAUUUUGAUUUUACUGUUAAGGGAUCUUUAGUAUAUUCUGCUUGUAAUAGAUAUGAUAGAAGAAUUCUUUUGAACCAAAUUUGUUCUUUUGCAUUGGAUAUUAAUGAUCCUUGGUUUGUUGGAGGGGAUUUUAAUACAAAUCUUCAUGUUAAUGAAAGGGUAGGGGGUUGUCCUCCUAAUAUGAAUUCUCUGGAAGAAUUUUCAAAUAUGAUUAUUGAUUGUAAUUUGACUGACAUUGAUUUUGUGGGAUCGACUUUUACUUGGAACAACAAUAGAUUUUGAAAAAGAUUGAAUGGGAUUCUAUUCAAUCAUUUAUGGAUUGCUAAAUGGCAUUUUACUUCUAUAAAACAUCUUAGUAGAAGCUUAUCCGAUUAUUGCCCUUUAUUGAUUUCUAUUGAGAAGAGAAGGAUAAUAUUUCUUAGAAUGGUUGCCUUAGUUUUAGAUUUCAGAAUAUGUUGAUUCGACAUACUGAAUUUUUUAAGGUGGUUGAAUCCAAGGUUUAAAAUUGCGUAAAUAAGCCUCGAGGUAUUUUUCGUCCGUGAGGCGAGGCGUAAUCCUUGAGGCGGUGCGAGGCGUAAGCCUCAUGGACGAAGAAUUGCGUAAAUGGGAAUUUAUGUAUUUGACUUUUCCUUUCCCCUAACCAUAUUUCCUAAUGCAUAAAUGCAAAAUUAAAUCAAAAAUCUCAAAAAAAUUUAAACCCUAGAUUUUUUCUUGAAAAAUCAAACUUUGAAUUAAAAAAAAAAAAACUUAAAACCCAUAGUAGAGGUGUCGUAGAGGGCAGCCGGACUCAAGUUGCUCACGGUCGUGAGGCGGCGUGAAGGCCGGCCGAGGGAAGCUAGUGCUUGUGGAGCUCUUCUGUUUAGUUCGGAUAGGCAUAAAGAAGAAAGGGAUGAAAUGGCUUUUUUUUUUUUUAAGAACUUAAGUGUGUGGAACCCAGCUCCAUGAGGCGUAAGCCUCACCUAAAAUUGCGCAAUUAAGCCUCUGAGGCGCGCCUCAGGAUCCAUGAGGCGUAAACCUCACCCAGACCCAAAAUUGCUUAAGCAAUGAGGCUCUUUGGGGUAGAAUUGCGCAGAGGCUCGCCUCUUAUUGCGCAAUUUUAAACUAUGGUUGUAUUGCUCUUGAUAACUCAAUAAAAGGUAUGAUUGGAAUUGGGCUAAAAUUGAAGCGUUUAAAAAAAUGUCUUAAUUGAUGUAAUAAGUAUCAUUUCAAAAAUAUUUUUGCUAACAUUAAAGAAAUGGAGAAAAAGGUUUUUCCUUUAGAAAAAUAUUUUAAUUUUUUAUCCUUUUUUUUAAAUGAUUUAAAUGUUGCCAAGGACUAACUUAUUCAGUGUCAAGACAUGGAAGAAACUUUUUGGAGACAAAAAGUUUUUUCUAAGCAUAUAUCUGAUGGGGAUAGAAAUAUCAAAUACUUUGAUGCUUUGGUUAACAAAAAGAAAUUCAUUAAUUGUAUUAAGAUGUUAACUGGAUCUCGGAUGCAUUGCUAAACAAUUCGGUGAUUAGAAUUUUUUCUAAUAUAUUUUGUAACAACGUGAAUUUUCAGCAAUUAUUCAAUUCUCAAGUCCUUGAUAAUGUUAUUUCUGUUGAGGAUAUCUGAGAAUCAAGAGGGGUUUAUUUUCUCUUUUCUUUUUUUAAAAAAAUCUUAAAACAAACUUGCUUAUUUUUUUGAUAUGUGUAUAGUUAGAGGAUUUUAAAUUUCGCUUGUGAAUCUUCCAAUAUAUCAUCCUGAUUGUUCGCGCUAAAACUUUAAAUGAAUAUCCGUCGUUAAUUGUAUCUUCAACCAAAUGGCACAAUUUGUGUUUAUCUUCUUCUUCUUAUCAACACAUCCCUGCACGAAAUGGCGCCGUUCAUAAAAUUUCAUUUGCUCGCAAUCAUAUAUGGCGCUGUUCUAUUCUUCCCAUUGUCAGUGCCAACGACGGUCCUGCUCACCAAACCCAGCAAACAUCCCCUUUCAAAAGGUAAACUUAUUAACGUCUCUUUUUAAUUUCUUCAAAAAAAAUAUUUCUGCUUUGUUCGUCUUUCGCUAUCGUUCUGGUUUCGCUCGCCGAAGCAAACUGAAAGUUUUUGCUUUGCGAGUGAACAAACAUAUUUGAGAGGAAAUUUUUAUCUCUGGGUUAAAAAAUUUAAUGUUUGUCAAUAAAUGAGGAAGCUUUCAUAUUAUGGAAAAUUUUUUAUUUGCAUUUUAGCUAAUAGGCAAUUGGAGAGGUGAUAAACGGAAACAAAAAUAGAUUGAGGUUUUUCCUGGACAGAUAUUUUUAAAGUUUUCUAUGGUAGUUUGAGUUAUUUUAAUUACAAAUACGCAUCUACACAUAUAUUUAAAAAAAAAAAUAUGCAUCGCGCACGUGCAUACAAAAGCAUGAUUACUUUAUUAUAAGUCAGCUUCUGAUCAAUAGAUUAAGGCUUCGUUUGGGACGGCUUUCUUUGACAUAACAGAGAAGUUAUGUUUUUAAUUUGGUGAACAAUUAUUUUAAGGUCAUUCAAUUCUUGCAUUGAAAUUUUUCCAGUGCAAAUACUUCUCUUCAAUUUCAAAUCUAACCAUUAGCCUCACAAGCAUUGGUAUUUAGAUUCAUACACUGCUGAUAUACACAAUAUCAGUUUUAUAACAAGGUAAAAAAAACUAAGAUCUUCAUGAAUCAGUUGCACUUCAUCAAAUUCAAUACACCCCUUUCCUUUAGAAGCUUCAUGAAUAUAUUCUUAUUUGUUGAACUAUAUUUUCUAGGUUUCUUUUCAAUAUAUAUGAUUCCAAUAUACCAAAAUAAAAUAUACAGAAUCCAUCAGACUGUAAUCUAAAUUCAUUUUUCGAAAUCCUAAAUAAUUCUCUAAAAAAUGGAUUCCCUCAGAUAAGUAAGAGGAAUCAUGAAUCGCUUUCCAUCAACACUAUAACAAAUAUAUGGCCUCUACUUGAAAUGUCUCUAUCAUUUGUAGUUGACAUAACACUUCUCACAAAAGAAGCCAAUUUUCUACACUUCUUUGCCAUCUCCAUGAUUCUUUUGGAACUCAACAUUUCUGCUUGAGAGUAUGAAAAGUCAAAAUUUUGAUAUCCUAAUAAUAGUAGCUUCUUCUCUUGUUGGAUAGUUGCAUUAUUUUCUUCCUUUUCAUUUCUUCUACUCUACAGUGUUUUUCUCCUCUCUAUGUUUUUUCUCCUCUAACAAAGGUGGAGUUUCUUGAAUUUUUCAUACUUUAUUCUUCAUACAAGGCAAAAAAAAAUUAGUUGACUUCUUUCAUAGCCCUUUCUUAGUAUUCUAUUACAAAUAAAUUAUCUUUUUUUAUCGCGAGCAUGCGAGCUACAAAAUUUUAUGUCUUGAGUUAGAUUGAAUUUUUUUUCCUUUUAAAACUAGAUUUCCUGCAGUCUUGAGUCAAGCCUUAUCUAGAUUCAUGGUUUGAGAUUAUUUAUGAUUGGAUGUACCUAAAAGUUAAUCAUAUCUCCUUAUUAAGAGAGCACUCUUGAGUUAAGAGGGUGCUCAGCUAUGAAUAAAUAAAAAAGACAAAUGAGAAAUACAUGGAAAGGUAUAUGCCAAAAUGAAAUUAAAAAAAAAAAAUUGGUUGAAUUGAUAUUUCAAAUUUUCAACGCUUCCACAAUUGACAUAAUAUUUUUUGUUUAUGUAUGCUUGCUAUUUCACUUUGUUAUUUUUAUUAAUGUAUUCAUAUUUUUCAUUUGCACGUUGGGUACUUAGUAUCCUAUGGUGCAGCAGCCCCUUUCCAUCGUCUCCAAUGCACGAUUUGGUCUUGCUCAUUUAUUCUUGUUUUUCUUUGCCAAACCCUAAUUCAUAUAAUUAAGUUCAUUUCUCCUUAACCUUCGCCUUUGUCUAAGAAGAAGGUAACUUAUUGGGGUAAACUUAUUAGGGUGAAAAUUGAUCAUUUACUUAUUUCCAAACUAAUUUUUCUGUUGUACUUCUUAUCUCUCUCGCUUAAAGGGUUCGCUGAGCAUAACUGACAUUAUCUUAUCGAUAUUGCUCAUAUUUUAAUAUUUAUAUGUGUUUCUCAUCAAUUUUAGAAAAUAUUAUUAUUUUUGAACUUCAAUUAAUGUAAUAUAUUAUUACCAAUUUACUACUACUCAAUUAUCUAUUACUUAUUUUGAUAAAUCUUCUUUUCACACAACACCUUGCAUCUUUGAUCGUUCAAAAUUUAAAUAAUAAUAACAUAAUAAACAUGUAAAAGUGUAGCAAUGAUUAAAGAUAAAACAAUGAAAAAAUUGUCUCCAACAAACCGUUUACACUGCACAUCAACUGGUCUAGUUUUGUUCAGGAAAAUGCAAAUGCCCACCACAAAAAUUUAUCAUAAUGUGGAUUAGACUUGUCUCAGUUAUGAAGGAAAAUAAGUUAUGCACAUUUUUUGGAAAGAUUUUGAUGGCUGUCAUGAGGAAUCCCUGAGAACUUCAUACAGAACAAUGCUCCCGCAAGCCAAAACCAAAAUCAAGGACUGGAAUUGCGGGAAGCAGCUGCUCUCCUACACGGACAUUUUCCUCCUUCGAGUGCAGCAACAUCCAUGAGGAGAAACUCUUAUUAGAGUAUAUUGAUCUUAGUCUCCAUGUACUAAUUAGAUAAACGAAAGUGCAGCAUAUUAGAUAGUGAGAUCCUUGAAAGAGUGCAAAUUUCCAUUUUCAAUACUUACACCGACAACUUGAUGGUUCAAGUCACCAUUCUCAGGUACACUGUAUUCAUUGCAGUUGGCUAAACCGACGACUGCUGAGCUCUUCAAACCUUCGAAAUAAGUUGUAUUAGGGAAAUAUUCAGCACAGCGGACCUUCCAACCUACAAUAAAUCAAAUACAGUAUGAUAUUAGCAAAGAAAAGAGCUUGUAGGUCAUUGAUGCUUAUAAAUUGUUAAAAAGGAAAUCUAGAAACAAGCUGUACCCUGAAUGUAGCUUAUAUAUCAGAAAAAUACAAAGCCAUGGUAUGACUUUCCUAUAAGACUUUCAUAUUGGGAUGAACUAAAGUUAUCUACAUUGAUGCUAAGGUAUUAUAUGCCUCACUCUGUAAUAAGCAGAUUUUAUCAUUCUUUUAAACUGUUAGAUCCAUAAGAAGAAGAAAAAUAAAAUCUUACUAUUUUUCAAGGAACAUUUAUUCUAUUCAAACUUAUUUUCAACAUAAAACGGCAAAACAUUCAUUUUUAAAUUUUUUCGUAUAACACUAAAAAAUUUUAAUUCCAAAACACAAAAUUGUUUGGCAAUGGCUUAUUCAUUACUUUUCUCAAUCCGCAAUAAUAUUUGCGCUUUGAUUAGCUAUAAGUUUUCAUUUGAUAUUUUUCUUCCUGUUUUUCCAUUUGGAUUAUUCAAUGCUUGUAAAUGAAUUUAGUUCUCUUUAAAAAAGUUUGAUAUUCCAUUGCUUGGAAUGCAAGAAUUGGCUCUAUUCAAUGCAAGAAUUUUAAAUACUUCAUCACUUUGAUAAUUGAGAUAAUAUUUUCUUUCUAUGUAUUUUUGUUAUUUCACUGUUCUAUUUUUUUUUUAUUUAUUCAUAUUUCUCUUUUGCACUUUGGGUACCUAAUAUUCUAUGGUGCAGCAUCCCCUAUACAUCGACUCCAAUGCACGAUUUGAUCCUGCUCAUUGGUCCCGGUUGUUUUUCGAAAUUCCUCGUUCUACAUAUCAUUCAAGGUUGAUCAAGCAACAGCCAAUAAAUUGAGGCCUUAUGUGGCAAGAAUUUUAGUGGAAAUUGAUAUCACUAAAGAUUUUCGAAAAGACAUUUGGAUUGGUUCAGAUUCUUCUGGUUAUAUUCAGAAAAAUGAAUUUGAUAAAUUUCCUAUUUUCUGUACACAUUGCAAAUUACAUGGGCAUGAUUUGAGUAGUUGUUUUAUUUUGAAUCCUUCAUCGAAAGAGAAAAAUCUUAAGCAACAUAUUUUUACUAAAAUUUAGGGUUUAGGGUUUAGAGAUUCUUGAUAAUUCUCUAAAUGAUUAUUUCUCUAAAUGAUUAUUUAGAGAAUGUGGAGAAAGAUUUAAAAGAACUAAUAGAUCUGAAUGAUGUUAAUCUAGUUAACAAUAAUUCAGAUAUCUUAGAUUCUCUUAAGAACGGAAAAAUUUUGGAUAUGGUUGCUUAUGAGAAAAAUCUUGCUUUGAAAAUUGAAGUUUUUUUUCUGAUGA